GAGAGAUGAUGCGAGCAAACAGCA
This 24-nucleotide non-coding RNA is filed under the name Arabidopsis thaliana (thale cress). The record is from RNAcentral. Lineage: Eukaryota; Viridiplantae; Streptophyta; Magnoliopsida; Brassicales; Brassicaceae.